GCCACACUGCCAGGGGUGGCUAGUCGACCAUGAGCUCCGGAGCAGUAGGAAGGGAGUGCGGAGCCGGUAGCAAUAGAGGUAGUAUGAGUGGAUCCUUGUUAUAUCCACCUAUGUGGAUAUAACUUUAGGGGUGAGUGCUCUAGCAGUGGAGGCAUUUAAGAGAAACUUAGACAACCACCUGGCAGAUAUACUCUCCCCCCCAUAUUACCACAUUGAGCAGGGGGUUGGACUUCAUGAUCUUAUAAGUCUCUUCCAACUUCAUUAUUCUAUGAGUCUCUUUCUGAGUUGUUUCUCUCUUGCUCAUUUUGUCAGAUCCUAAUCUGCUGAUCUUUUGGAUUUCUGCAGAUCUUUGGCUUAGCAUGUUGUCAGAAUUGUCCCAGUACGGUUCUGCAAACAGAUUGUUUCUGUGUUUCCAAUGAUACAGCCUGCAUUGUAUAAUACUUGUGCAGGCUUUUGUUUAGAAGGAGGCUCAUAGAGAUACGUACAAAGAAAUUAACAAAGCCACAGAAGGAUGUCUCUGUUUCUUUUUCAUCUUAGUACAUGGAUCAUGUAAAGCAGGAGUAAGAAAUCUAAAUUGCUAAACUGCAAAUUUCAUUUAUUUCUUGCCCUUGAGCAGGACUGGGGCUGAAAAGAAUUGGAGACCAACCCUAUUUUGAGUGUGACAGGUUUUCUGACCCAGAUGUAUUGUAAGUGAGACCAAAAACCCUCCCAAGGGCUGAACUGGUCACAAGGCAGGUCUAUUGUAUUUGGUCUAAUUAAUUCAAUGCAUUGUUGUUCUGUAACUGUUCUUAGACGCAUUUUCUAACUUCAAAAUAUGCACCAGAGAAAAGGAUUCUAUGUUAAAAUUUAUAUGUGUGCGUACAUUCAGUAUCACAUAAUACUUUCUCAUGUUGCUUGCCUUAAAUGUUGUCAACAGCUUGCCUUUCCUUGCAGGGUUUCGCUCCCUUCCAUUAGGUAAUUGAUGUGUUUUGUUCUUCAGGCUCGGGUAUUAACACCUAGGCCUGCUCUCAAAUAUGUAUGAAGUAGCCCUUGCACCCUGAAAAUAAACGUGUUCUGAACCUAGCA
Molecule: long non-coding RNA, 1065 nt
Filed under: Pogona vitticeps (central bearded dragon)
Lineage: Eukaryota; Metazoa; Chordata; Lepidosauria; Squamata; Agamidae
Description: lncRNA (ENSPVIG00000023177.1)
Source: RNAcentral